GUUUUUAAUUGUUGCAACUGUUUUGGCUGCCUUUGCACUAGUCAGUGCUGGCCUCACUUACACUUUGAAUCAGCAUGAAAGAACUGUGUUUAUUGAUCAUGAUCAUUAUUAAAUAUAGAUGGUCGAUUGUAUAAGAAAUCUUUGUUAAUGUAAUCAAUCUUUUCUUGCC
Long non-coding RNA from Populus euphratica (Euphrates poplar), 169 nucleotides. RefSeq lists it as uncharacterized. The record is from RefSeq and is a predicted model, not a curated record. The transcript has 3 exons. NCBI's taxonomy places the organism in Eukaryota, Viridiplantae, Streptophyta, Magnoliopsida, Malpighiales, Salicaceae.